This 95-nucleotide transfer RNA is filed under the name Orbilia oligospora ATCC 24927. RNAcentral's name for it is "Arthrobotrys oligospora ATCC 24927 tRNA". It matches the Rfam family "tRNA". Rfam says of the family: Transfer RNA (tRNA) molecules are approximately 80 nucleotides in length. Their secondary structure includes four short double-helical elements and three loops (D, anti-codon, and T loops). Further hydrogen bonds mediate the characteristic L-shaped molecular structure. tRNAs have two regions of fundamental functional importance: the anti-codon, which is responsible for specific mRNA codon recognition, and the 3' end, to which the tRNAs corresponding amino acid is attached (by aminoacyl-tRNA synthetases). tRNAs cope with the degeneracy of the genetic code in two manners: having more than one tRNA (with a specific anti-codon) for a particular amino acid; and 'wobble' base-pairing, i.e. permitting non-standard base-pairing at the 3rd anti-codon position. The record is from Rfam by way of RNAcentral. Lineage: Eukaryota; Fungi; Ascomycota; Orbiliomycetes; Orbiliales; Orbiliaceae.
GCCGGCAUAGUAUAGUGGUUAGUACGUAUCGUUGUGGAGACCCAAAGGGUUAUUACACUCCCGAUACAGCCUCAGUUCGAUUCUGAGUGCCGGCA